UACGUAGGGACCGAGCGUUGUCCGGAUUCAUUGGGCGUAAAGAGCUCGUAGGCGGCCACUCAAGUCGAAUGUGAAACCUCGAGGCUUAACCUCGAGCCUGCAUUCGAUACUGGGCGGCUAGAGUCUGGUAGGGGGAUCUGGAAUUCCUGGUGUAGCGGUGAAAUGCGCAGAUAUCAGGAGGAACACCGGUGGCGAAGGCGGAUCUCUGGGCCGAUACUGACGCUGAGGAGCGAAAGCGUGGGGAGCGAACAGG
Molecule: ribosomal RNA, 253 nt
Filed under: uncultured bacterium
Lineage: Bacteria
Description: partial 16S ribosomal RNA
Rfam family: Bacterial small subunit ribosomal RNA
Source: RNAcentral